This 78-nucleotide small nuclear RNA is filed under the name Chlorocebus sabaeus (green monkey). Lineage: Eukaryota; Metazoa; Chordata; Mammalia; Primates; Cercopithecidae. The record is from RNAcentral.
AUUGGAACCAUAACAGAGAAGAUUAGCAUGGCUCCUGCAAAAGAUGACAGGCAAAUUCAUCAAGCAUUCCUAUUAUUA